This 19-nucleotide small nuclear RNA is filed under the name Arabidopsis thaliana (thale cress). RNAcentral describes it as "snRNA_14216". Lineage: Eukaryota; Viridiplantae; Streptophyta; Magnoliopsida; Brassicales; Brassicaceae. The record is from RNAcentral.
UACUACACCUACUCCGGUU